This is a long non-coding RNA of Phyllopteryx taeniolatus (common seadragon), 763 nucleotides long. RefSeq lists it as uncharacterized. The transcript has 3 exons. NCBI's taxonomy places the organism in Eukaryota, Metazoa, Chordata, Actinopteri, Syngnathiformes, Syngnathidae. The record is from RefSeq and is a predicted model, not a curated record.
GGUACGGACAAACCGUACAGGGGCCCGUGGGGGACCCUUUCGGUCAUGUAGAGGUCGCCGCAGUAACCGAGGAGGCGAGGAGUGUGACCACGCUCCUGAAGCAGCAGGCCCAGAAGAACCUGAGAGAACAGAACAGGAGGGCCCACAUGGAGCGAGCUUCUGGCAGGGACACUUUUCCGUCUUUGUUGCCGUCCGCCACAGAAAGGAUCACGCUCGCCAGACCGCCAAGGUUGGUCUGAUCUCCAAGUUUGGACUAGAAAGGUCACACACACAAAGUGCCAUGGGAGAGAACAUGAAGUGAUUCAAGACCAUCUCUCGGAAUUUCUCCACUGAUGUGCCUCGAGUGGGGGUAUCGAACACAGGGAUCUCCUUCUGAGGCUCCGGCUCAUAGCCCAUCUCGUAGUGCCUGACUUUCCCCAAAUGACAGCGAAUGAUCCCUUCGUGAUCUCCCCAGCUUCCCGUGUACACCUGGUGAAUGACCGAUAUACAUGUUUUUAAAUCGUGAACGGGGCCUUCAGUAGGGAGCUUUUCAGAAUGAAAGUGCAAUUAUCCACUUGCCUUGUAGUUGUAUACAGCCAGAUUGACAGAGUGACACUAAUAAAUGUCGGGACACUUCUACAUUAUCCAUACACUCACUGUUUUAUUAUGCUGCACUAUUUGCAUUCCUGUGAUUGGCUGGCAACCAGUUCAGGGUGUACCCGCCUCCUGCCUGAUGAUAGCUGGGAUAGGCUCCAGCACUCCCGCGACCCUUGUGAGGAUAUGC